RNAcentral lists this ribosomal RNA (253 nucleotides) under uncultured bacterium. RNAcentral's name for it is "partial 16S ribosomal RNA". It matches the Rfam family "Bacterial small subunit ribosomal RNA", at positions 524 to 776 of the family's 1533-position model. The record is from RNAcentral.
UACGUAGGGUGCGAGCGUUAAUCGGAAUUACUGGGCGUAAAGCGUGCGCAGGCGGUUGGUUAAGUCUGAUGUGAAAGCCCCGGGCUCAACCUGGGAAUGGCAUUGGAAACUGGUCAGCUGGAGUGUGGCAGAGGGGGGUGGAAUUCCGCGUGUAGCAGUGAAAUGCGUAGAGAUGCGGAGGAACACCGAUGGCGAAGGCAGCCCCCUGGGCUAGCACUGACGCUCAGGCACGAAAGCGUGGGGAGCAAACAGG